Molecule: ribosomal RNA, 574 nt
Filed under: Phomopsis sp. 135AH/S
Lineage: Eukaryota; Fungi; Ascomycota; Sordariomycetes; Diaporthales; Diaporthaceae
Description: eukaryotic LSU rRNA
Rfam family: 5.8S ribosomal RNA (bases 203-356)
Source: RNAcentral
CGUAGGUGAACCUGCGGAGGGAUCAUUGCUGGAACGCGCCCCAGGCGCACCCAGAAACCCUUUGUGAACUUAUACCUUUUGUUGCCUCGGCGCAUGCUGGUCUCUAGUAGGCCCCUCACCCCGGUGAGGAGACGGCACGCCGGCGGCCAAGUUAACUCUUGUUUUUACACUGAAACUCUGAGAAAAAACACAAAUGAAUCAAAACUUUCAACAACGGAUCUCUUGGUUCUGGCAUCGAUGAAGAACGCAGCGAAAUGCGAUAAGUAAUGUGAAUUGCAGAAUUCAGUGAAUCAUCGAAUCUUUGAACGCACAUUGCGCCCUCUGGUAUUCCGGAGGGCAUGCCUGUUCGAGCGUCAUUUCAACCCUCAAGCAUUGCUUGGUGCUGGGGCACUGCUUUUAACGAAGCAGGCCCUGAAAUCUAGUGGCGAGCUCGCCAGGACCCCGAGCGCAGUAGUUAAACCCUCGCUCUGGAAGGCCCUGGCGGUGCCCUGCCGUUAAACCCCCAACUUUUGAAAAUUUGACCUCGGAUCAGGUAGGAAUACCCGCUGAACUUAAGCAUAUCAAUAAGCGGAGG